Molecule: ribosomal RNA, 570 nt
Filed under: Gastrophryne olivacea (western narrow-mouthed toad)
Lineage: Eukaryota; Metazoa; Chordata; Amphibia; Anura; Microhylidae
Description: partial 16S ribosomal RNA
Rfam family: Bacterial large subunit ribosomal RNA
Source: RNAcentral
AAACAUCGCCUCCUGCAGUAUAUAGGAGGUCCAGCCUGCCCAGUGACCAAGUUAAACGGCCGCGGUACCCUAACCGUGCGAAGGUAGCGCAAUCACUUGUUCUUUAAAUGAGGACUAGUAUGAAUGGCAUCACGAGGGUUACACUGUCUCCCACCUCUAAUCAGUGAAACUGAUCUCCCCGUGAAGAAGCGGGGAUAAAACUAUAAGACGAGAAGACCCCAUGGAGCUUCAAACCCGGCAUCAACCAUUAACAUUAAUACCACAUUAAAUAAAUGGACCUGACUGCUGGUUUUAGGUUGGGGUGACCGCGGAGCAUAACAAAACCUCCAUGAUGAACGACCUCCUCUCUAAUCCGAGAGCCACCACUCAAAGAAUCAAAAAAUUGACAUUUAUUGACCCAAACUAUUUUGAUCAACGAACCAAGUUACCCUGGGGAUAACAGCGCAAUCCAUUUCAAGAGCCCCUAUCGACAAAUGGGUUUACGACCUCGAUGUUGGAUCAGGGUAUCCUAGUGGUGCAGCCGCUACUAAAGGUUCGUUUGUUCAACGAUUAAGACCCUACGUGAUCUGA